RNA transcript from Mus musculus (house mouse), 513 nucleotides. It is a transcript of the gene named predicted gene 15798, with no coding region annotated. Lineage: Eukaryota; Metazoa; Chordata; Mammalia; Rodentia; Muridae. The record is from RefSeq and is a predicted model, not a curated record. The transcript has a single exon.
UGCAAAAAUACUCAAUAAAAUUUUCUUGCCUCUUUCCUUUCUGCCACCGCCAUGCCAUCCAGACUGGAGAAGAGCCAGAACCUUGGGGGCCACAUGAGCCACGGACAGCGAGAAUGCUGGAGGCAUGCAUAAUCACAGGGUCAACUUUGACAAAUAUCACCCAGGUUACUUUAGGAAGGUUGGUAUGCGGCAUUACCACUUGCAGAGGAACCAGAGCUUCUGCCCAACUGUCAGCCUGGAUAAAUUGUGGACGUUGGUCAGCGAGCAGACGCGGGUCAAUGCAGCAAAAACCAAGCCUGGAGCUGCUCCCAUCAUUGAUGUUGUUCAAUCAGGCUACUACAAAGUUCUGGGCAAGGGAAAGCUCCCUAAGCAACCUGUUAUCAUGAGGGCCAAAUUCUUCAGCAGGAGAGCUGAAGAGAAGAUUAAGGGUGUUGGAGGUGCCUGUGUUCUGGUGGCUUAAAAGCCACCACGGAGGUUAAUUAAAUGCUAACAUUUUCCAUGAAAAAAAAAAAA